This is a long non-coding RNA of Lathyrus oleraceus (garden pea), 505 nucleotides long. RefSeq lists it as uncharacterized. The transcript is spliced from 3 exons. Lineage: Eukaryota; Viridiplantae; Streptophyta; Magnoliopsida; Fabales; Fabaceae. The record is from RefSeq and is a predicted model, not a curated record.
UCUUCUUCUACUUUGUGAUACAGGCUAUAGCACAACGUUUCUGAAUCAUCACAGCAAGAGAUAUACAACUUUAAAAGUAAUGUGCUUUGAAAAAAGGUGUUUUUGUUAUGGAAAUCCUAGGGUGGAGUUCUAGUGUGGAUGAAGUUCUUAGAUCCGCUUCUGGUUCGGUUGAGGAUGUGAAACUGUUUUGCUGUGAUCAAACUCAGGUUAACCAUUUGCCUUGGAAGUUAUGUUAGAGGCUGCUAUGGAGUUUUCGGUUUUGUAUGGAGGUUAACCAACCAAUUAGUAAGGGCAGAUUCAGGUUGUGGCUUUGAAUCGUGCUGUUGGAGGUUAGGUGGAUAUCAUUUGGGUUGAAAUUCGUUGGACAGUUGGAAGUUCGGUUGGAAUUUGUUAUGGUUCUAUUCUGAAUUCAGUUGAAAUUUGGAAAUUCGGUUAGAUGUUGGUUUUUACUAAAGUUCUAUUAGUGAAGUGAUUUAGAAAAUGCUGUUAGAUAGUGAAUUAUUCU